This 442-nucleotide ribosomal RNA is filed under the name uncultured Oomycota. RNAcentral's name for it is "LSU rRNA". It matches the Rfam family "Eukaryotic large subunit ribosomal RNA", at positions 165 to 598 of the family's 3401-position model. The record is from RNAcentral. Lineage: Eukaryota; Oomycota.
AGCAUAGCCGAUUUGGGAUAAGUCCCUUGGAAGAGGGCAGCAUGGAGGGUGAUACUCCCGUCUCUGCUCAGGUUGUCUGUGUGUACGAUACGCUUUCUUUGAGUCGAGUUGUUUGGGAAUACAGCUCAAAGUAGGUGGUAAAUUCCAUCUAAAGCUAAAUAUUGGUGCGAGACCGAUAGCGAACAAGUACCGUGAGGGAAAAGAUGAAAAGAACUUUGAAAAGAGAGUUAAAGAGUACCUGAAACUGUUGAAAGGGAACCGUAUCGUUUCUAGUGUAUAUCCUAUGCAUAUUUCAUUGGCGGUUGCAAAAUUGCUGGUGCCCUGUGUAUGGGUGUGACGUCAGAGUCAGUUUGAAUUGCGGGAGAUGGGUAGUGAGGAGGUGCGUCACUUUUGUGAAAGUUACAGCUCGCUAUCUAGUAGCCGUGGUUGAGACUGAGGUGCC